Molecule: ribosomal RNA, 666 nt
Filed under: uncultured Tomentella
Lineage: Eukaryota; Fungi; Basidiomycota; Agaricomycetes; Thelephorales; Thelephoraceae
Description: eukaryotic LSU rRNA
Rfam family: 5.8S ribosomal RNA (bases 249-403)
Source: RNAcentral
AAGUCGUAACAAGGUUUCCGUAGGUGAACCUGCGGAAGGAUCAUUACUGAACUGUUGACACGAGUUGUUGCUGGUCCUCAAAUGGGGGCAUGUGCACGCUCUGUUUACACAUCCACUCACACCUGUGCACCCUCCUGUAGUUCUAUGGCAUGGGGGACUCUGUCCUCCUGCUGUGGUUCUAUGCUUUUACACACACACUGUAAUUAAAGUCUCAUGGGAUGUAUACCGCGUUUAACGCAAUAUAAUACAACUUUCAGCAACGGAUCUCUUGGCUCUCGCAUCGAUGAAGAACGCAGCGAAAUGCGAUAAGUAGUGUGAAUUGCAGAAUUCAGUGAAUCAUCGAAUCUUUGAACGCACCUUGCGCCCUUUGGCUAUUCCGAAGGGCAUGCCUGUUUGAGUAUCAUGAACACCUCAACUCUCAUGGUUUGCCAUGAUGAGCUUGGACUUUGGGGGUCUUGCUGGCCUAUGGUCAGCUCCUCUUAAACGAAUCAGCUUGCCAGUGUUUGGUGGCAUCACAGGUGUGAUAACUAUCUACGCUUGUGGUCUCCCAUCAGGUGACCUUCAGUGAUGGAGGUUUGUGCUGGGGCUCAUAAAGGUCUCUCCUCAGUGAGGACAGCUUUUUGAACGUUUGAUCUCAAAUCAGGUAGGACUACCCGCUGAACUUAA